This 2580-nucleotide long non-coding RNA is filed under the name Gigantopelta aegis. Its description in RNAcentral is "uncharacterized LOC121384763". Lineage: Eukaryota; Metazoa; Mollusca; Gastropoda; Neomphalida; Peltospiridae. The record is from RNAcentral.
UGAAAGUGAAAAUCAGUUUGUUUUUAAAUACAUCUGAACCACCAAUGUAGCACAGAACCCAUAGUUCAAGUGUUUUAGGCUUAGGUAGGUGUAACUCAUCGGUUAUGAGAACUAUAUUAACGUAACCGAUUAUUCGGUUACCUAAGUAAAACUCACGUGAGCUUACUUCCGGGUACCUUAGAUUUUGAAAUAUUGUCCCCUGCACUAGGCCAACAAUGGCAACAGAAAAACACCAAAUGUUUCAUAAAUAGGAUACUAUAAGAGUGUCCAUGACGGACAAUGUUUAUGACACAAAUUAUCAUAUUUCCCCGAGCCAGAGCAGGACAAAAAUGAUAAUUUAGACUAGAAUGUCACAAACAAUUUUAACAUUGUCUGUCAUGGACACGAAUGUAAUAUUCUGUUUAUUACUGUUACAGUAGUAUUUUUUACAACACCCAUUAAUUGAAAUAAUGGGGUCAAGGAGGUAGGUGCAAAAUAAUUGUCUGGGCACAGGAUUGAUAUGGAUGAUGGAGAACAGAAAGAGGAAUGGCCGCAAGAGACCUAUUAUUGUUUUAAGUUUGGCAAGAAGUGCGCAAGGUAAGCUCUUAUGGCAAUUUUUGUUUUGUUUAAAUAGAAGUUCUGCAGUAAGAAAAGAUUAAUUUCAAGGUAGCGGAAGUAAAACGGGUGAUAAACAAACAAAAACACUAAUAAGGAUACAAAAUGUUUAUUAUUAUUAACACUAGUAUGUUUGGUUAAAAUAUUUUAACGCUUCAAUUGAACAUGCAUUUCACCAACAAUCAACGCAUAGCAACUUUGAAAAACACCCAUGCAUUUACAACAUUUGUGUUCUUGGUAUGAAAUACUAUAAUAGAAACGGCAUCAGAAACCGUAGCAAACACAAGGUUUUGAAUUCAAUAACAAAAUUCCUUAGAAUUAAAUGUCUCACCUAUACCAUAAACGUUUUCAAUGCUCUGUGAUGAACAUUCAUAGGAUGCAACUAGAAACCUAUUUUCAUUGAUCUAGGACUUAAAGUUUGGGGGGGGGGAGGGGGAGGGACAUAGCUCAGUGGUAUACUAUAGUGAAUAGUGUUCGCCUGAUGUGUGGUCGGUCUAGGAUCAAUCCCAGUCGGUGGGCACAUUGGGCUAUUUCCCGUUCCAGUCACUGUACCAUGACUGUUUUAUGUGCUAUCCUGUCUUGUCGGAUUGUGCAUAUAAACGAUCCCUUGUUACUAAUGGAAAAAUGUAGCACAUUUCCUUUCUAACUCUUAAGACUAAAUGACAAAAUUACCAAAUGUUUGACACCUAAUAGCUGAUGAUUAAUAAAUCAAUGUGCUCUAGAGGUGUCAUUAAACAAAAGAAACUUUAACUUUAAUCAUCGCUGUUAGAAAAGUCUUGUAAAGGGGAGACAAUAAUUGUCAGAAACCUAAACAAACUGCCAUUACAUGCAAAUAUCCAUAAAUAAUUUUGAUGAAGGUUUAUCAUUUGGUGGUCUUGUUGUGAAAACCUAUCAUGUACACAGAUAUGUCAAGUUUGUUUCAAAGAAAACAAUGGGAAUAUUUAGAGAAUAAUAACAAGGUACGAGGAAUUACGGAUUAUCCGUGUUGUAAACAUUCAUUCAUGAGGGUCAAAUAAUCUUAACUCCUCAUAUCGAGUUGGUUAUUUUCUUUAUUACCUACUGACAUUUUGAUCUCGUUUUUAAUGUAAAAUCUCUCUGUAAUGUAGAUAGCCAUCAGCCAUUAUGUUACAUAACCAUUACAUGAUGUUAUGUGACAUCAUAGCGUAACAGUGUUCUUUUACAGUCAAAUAUUUACAGUACAAAAUAAUACGACUGGUUGCAUUUGAAAAUAAUGAUGUUUCUAUGUCAUUAAAGCUCUUUCUUAUGAAAAUAUACCAUUUCAUGUUUAUAAAACAAAAAAUUAGUAAAACAUGUUCUGUUGAUCGUAUAACAUGUGUAAUCUGACUGAUGAAUAAAAACAUUAAAUCAAUGACGUUCUGGCCGUUACAAACAACCAACCAAAUGUCAUCAUUUUAAAACUAGGCAAUUAGAAGCAAUCUGCACACUGUACAAUUAUCAAACAAAUAUUACCCUAGAUAUUUUAGCCCAUAUGGGCAAUAAAUUAAUCUAUUUAUUGCAUUUCUUAAUGUGUCAAUACUCGAGAAGUCAAAUGCAGAAAAAUUUGCAAAAGAUAGAAACACAAAUUUGAAUCAUCAAAAUAUGUUUACAAAAUAAUGAAUAUUCACCAGUGGUUUAUUUCUGAUGAAUGAGGCACUUGACUUUCUUUCUGAUAAUUUUCUCCAACAUAAUACAUAAUAAUCUAUAUGCCACUGACCAACUUAACAUUAUUACCUGGUCAUACAAAGUCCUACAUUAUGUUCCUAUCAAUCAGAAUAUUUGUUGACCAAUAAUUACAUAAUUAUUGCAUUAAAUAAGAGAGGGUAUACCAUGUUAUAUGAACAGGAUUUAAAGUCACUGACCUUAGAUACCGUUUCUAUUUUGCAUGUAAUGCAGAUAGGGCUAUUACAAACACCAGAUUAAAUAAAAACAUGUUAGAUUUGCUGAAAUUAAUAAUUAAAGCAAGAUUUAAUUAAUGUGUACUUUAAU